RNAcentral lists this ribosomal RNA (305 nucleotides) under uncultured bacterium. RNAcentral's name for it is "bacterial SSU rRNA". It matches the Rfam family "Bacterial small subunit ribosomal RNA", at positions 335 to 639 of the family's 1533-position model. The record is from RNAcentral.
GGCCUACGGGGGGCAGCAGUGAGGAAUAUUGGUCAAUGGUCGGGAGACUGAACCAGCCAAGCCGCGUGAGGGAUGAAGGUACAGAGUAUCGUAAACCUCUUUUGUCAGGGAACAAAGGCGGGGACGUGUCCCCGGAUGAGUGUACCUGAAGAAAAAGCAUCGGCUAACUCCGUGCCAGCAGCCGCGGUAAUACGGAGGAUGCGAGCGUUAUCCGGAUUUAUUGGGUUUAAAGGGUGCGCAGGCGGACGCUUAAGUCAGCGGUAAAAUCGCGGGGCUCAACCUCGUCGAGCCGUUGAAACUGGGUG